UUUGUUUUUAUCCUCAUUGGUUAUGUUAGCUGUGCAGUUUUGUUAAAGGUAUUAAGGAAAAUUAAUUAGGCAGGAUGUAAGAUCCCAAAUAAUUAAUAAAUGAAAUUUAAUUUCCUCUAAUUAUUAUUUUGAAAUAGUAAGGGUUGAUGUGAUUAAUGUGGAUAGUUAUAGGUAAAAUACGCAAAUAUUUCAAAAUAAGCAAGUGGUUAUAAAAUAUUCAUUGUUGUCG
Molecule: long non-coding RNA, 229 nt
Filed under: Panax ginseng (ginseng)
Lineage: Eukaryota; Viridiplantae; Streptophyta; Magnoliopsida; Apiales; Araliaceae
Description: long non-coding RNA (PGIN_LNC017454)
Source: RNAcentral